Molecule: ribosomal RNA, 454 nt
Filed under: uncultured bacterium
Lineage: Bacteria
Description: partial 16S ribosomal RNA
Rfam family: Bacterial small subunit ribosomal RNA
Source: RNAcentral
GAUGAACGCUGACAGAAUGCUUAACACAUGCAAGUCAACUUGAACUUCGGUUUGGGUGGCGGACGGGUGAGUAACGCGUAAAGAACUUGCCUCACAGAUAGGGACAACAUUUGGAAACGAAUGCUAAUACCUGAUAUUAUGAUUUUAGGGCAUCCUAGGAUUAUGAAAGCUAUAUGCGCUGUGAGAGAGCUUUGCGUCCCAUUAGCUAGUUGGAGAGGUAACGGCUCACCAAGGCGAUGAUGGGUAGCCGGCCUGAGAGGGUGAUCGGCCACAAGGGGACUGGGACACGGCCCGUACGCCUACGGGGGGCAGGAGUGGGGAAUAUUGGAAAAUGGACCAAGAGUCUGAUCAAGCAAUUCUGUGUGCACGAUGAAGUUUUUCGGAAUGUAAAGUGCUUUCAGUUGGGAAGAAAAAAAUGACGGUACCAACAGAAGAAGAGACGGCUAAAUACGUG